Long non-coding RNA from Rhopalosiphum padi (bird cherry-oat aphid), 1816 nucleotides. RefSeq lists it as uncharacterized. The record is from RefSeq and is a predicted model, not a curated record. The transcript has 4 exons. Lineage: Eukaryota; Metazoa; Arthropoda; Insecta; Hemiptera; Aphididae.
GAUACAUGACGAUGGUAUUGCCCCCCUCCCCCCCAUAAAUAUAUUCUAGUUCCGCGCUUGCCAAGUUGAAUACAUAAAAUAUACGUUAUUUAUGUAAGAUAUAAUGUCAGUGGAGUAUUUCUCAACAAACAAAGAAGCAGUGCCCGUAUCCAGGGGGGAGGGGCUUUUGGGCUUAAGCCUCUUCCUCCCAAAUCUGUCUGUGUCGACGGUCCAUCAGUAUUCAGUAUUCACUAUACCUAUACUACAGCAAUGGAGAUGUAGUCUGAUGUACCUUUAUAGUGCCUUACCUAGUCGAUUGUUGGUCGUGUAGCGCGGCCACUUGAAUAUUCUGUAUUGUACCUAAUACUGCGUUUAAACUAAAGAUCCAAAAAUAUGAUCAGAGAGGAUUUCGGAAUCGACUGACGUUCGCAAUUAUUGGGGCAACGCUCAAAGCUCAUCGCUCACUCUUCGGCACCGUACACAACUCACAAUAUACUUUCGGUAGCAAUCUACAAUUUUGUACAAUAAAAUCAUAGAAGUAAUAAUAAGCGAAAAAAUAUUAUCUACAACCUGGUAAAAUGGACUACAGAUGUUCUUUAAGUUUGUAACCAUCAUUGUUGUACUGCCAGUUGACAGAUGCUUCAUUACCAUCAACGUCCAACUGGCAGAAGAACACAAGUUAUUUGUAUAGUGAGUCAUAAGUUGAACUAUGGCAACUAUGCACAUGGUUAACCAGUAUGAUUGUGUUGGUGUCAGAUUCUAACAUCACCGUUAGCAGCUCACUCUUCUUUGGCUACAGUCGGCAUUUUCACUGGGGACGAAGAGAGGUGCUAGAACUUUGUCUAACGCAUAAACAGCAUUUAUAUAAAGUAUAAACAUUCAUUUUGUGAUCUGUAUUCUAAAUCGUGUGCCUACGAUAUCGCUACAACUGAUGGAAGUUAUUGAUCGACACUUUCGUCUUGGCGGUAACUGUAUACUUGUUGUCCUUUGCCAAAUCCACUUCCAAUCUACAGUACUUGGUCUCCUUUACAAUAUUUGGCAAAGGAACUCGGUCUGUUGGAACCAAAAAAUGGUGACAGUUAAUCAUUUUUAUCAUAGUUGAAACAGAACUAUAUAGUGUGUAAUCACUCGAACACCAAGUAUUAACAGCACAGCUUCUAGGUUUUUUUGAGUAUAUGUAAUAUUAAUACCAGUGUGAAAUCUACUGUGCUCAAAACGUUAUUACCCAGACUUAAAAAAUUUAGAAGCUGUGUUAAUACUACUAGGUGUUUGAGACUACACUCAUAUGUCCAGGUUCAUCCAAUGUAAAAACUAUUUACCAACACCUUUUUCUAUUCUGCUUUUACAAAGUAUUUCUACCAACUAACGUUGUAAGGUGGCCCAAAUACUGUACGUUGUUUGCAAACUUGGUCAUGGGUAACGAGUUGACAGCUAUCAUCAAGAUUAUAGUUUCAGUCGUCCAUUACCAUCAUUAAUAACGUUAGUCAUUCAAUCCGGGUUCAUGUUGUAAGAGGGAUAUUUAUAUGUAUGUCGUUUAUAAGAAAGAUGAAAUGCUGACACAUUUCUGUUUCCAAAGAGCAUCAAUUGAGGCACCGGCAAAAUUACUGAAAAGGCGACCUGCCGGUAGGCAGAGAAAACUUUUCCAAGAAUCUCUCUCUCAAUCACUUAACCAAGGUGCUGACUGCUUCCACAUACAUCUGCACCAUAUAUUUAUUUUUGUAACAUAUUGUUAUUUGUUACCAGUAUCUAUGUAAAUUAUAUGUGAAACAUGCUAUUCAUUUCAAAUAUUUGAUAAAUUUAAUAAUUUAUUAUUAAUAAAAUUACAUUAGUUUUUUUA